UGGGGAAUAUUGCACAAUGGGCGCAAGCCUGAUGCAGCCAUGCCGCGUGUAUGAAGAAGGCCUUCGGGUUGUAAAGUACUUUCAGCGGGGAGGAAGGGAGUAAAGUUAAUACCUUUGCUCAUUGACGUUACCCGCAGAAGAAGCACCGGCUAACUCCGUGCCAGCAGCCGCGGUAAUACGGAGGGUGCAAGCGUUAAUCGGAAUUACUGGGCGUAAAGCGCACGCAGGCGGUUUGUUAAGUCAGAUGUGAAAUCCCCGGGCUCAACCUGGGAACUGCAUCUGAUACUGGCAAGCUUGAGUCUCGUAGAGGGGGGUAGAAUUCCAGGUGUAGCGGUGAAAUGCGUAGAGAUCUGGAGGAAUACCGGUGGCGAAGGCGGCCCCCAGGACAAAGACUGACGCUCAGGUGCGAAAGCGUGGGGAGCAAACAGG
Molecule: ribosomal RNA, 429 nt
Filed under: Chloroflexota bacterium
Lineage: Bacteria; Bacillati; Chloroflexota
Description: Chloroflexi bacterium partial 16S ribosomal RNA
Rfam family: Bacterial small subunit ribosomal RNA
Source: RNAcentral